GGGGGCGGGAUCCUUCACGGGAGCACUCGCGCACUCGGGACGUCGGCGUAGUGGGCUUUUCAUCCGACCCGUCUUGAAACACGGACCAAGGAGUCUAACAUGCAUGCGAGCCGGUGGGCGGCAAACCCACUUGAGAGGCGAAAAUAACUUGACAGGUGUGAUCCUAUCUCUAUUCAUAGGGAGCGGGGUGCAACAUCGACCGACCAUGAUCUUCUGUGAAAGGUUCGAGUAAGAGCAUGCCUGUUGGGACCCGAAAGAUGGUGAACUAUGCCUGAGCAGGGCGAAGUCAGAGGAAACUCUGGUGGAGGCUCGUAGCGAUACUGACGUGCAAAUCGUUCGUCAGACUCGGGUAUAGGGGCGAAAGACUAAUCGAACCAUCUAGUAGCUGGUUCCCUCCGAAGUUUCCCUCAGGAUAGCUGGAGCACGAAGGAGUUUCAUCAGGUAAAGCGAAUGAUUAGAGGCAUCGGGGGUGAAACACCCUCGACCUAUUCUCAAACUUUAAAUAGGUGAGAUCCGUUUCGGGGUUGCUUGAUUGAACCCCCGGCGGGG
Molecule: ribosomal RNA, 549 nt
Filed under: Mannia gracilis
Lineage: Eukaryota; Viridiplantae; Streptophyta; Marchantiopsida; Marchantiales; Aytoniaceae
Description: partial large subunit ribosomal RNA
Rfam family: Eukaryotic large subunit ribosomal RNA
Source: RNAcentral